CGCUGGCGGCGUGCUUAAUACAUGCAAGUCAAACUGAACUUAAGAUAGCAAUAUUUUAAGGGAGGUGGCGCACGGGUGAGUAACACGUAGGUAAUCUGCCUUUAGGUCUGACACAACCCGAGAAAUCGGGGCUAAUAUCAGAUGAUGCAGCGGCUCGACAUCGAGACAGUUGUUAAACCUUCGGGGCCUAAAGAUGAGCCUGCGUCUGAUUAGCUGGUUGGCGGGGUAACGGCCCACCAAGGCAACGAUCAGUAGCUGGUCUGAGAGGAUGAUCAGCCACACUGGAACUGAGACACGGUCCAGACUCCUACGGGAGGCAGCAGUAAGGAAUAUUGCUCAAUGGCCGAAAGGCUGAAGCAGCAACGCCGCGUGGAGGAUGAAAUACUUUUGUAUGUAAACUCCUGUGAGAAGGGAAAAAUAUGCAGAUUUUCUGCGUUGAUUGUACCUUCAGAGGAAGCCCCGGCUAACUACGUG
This 474-nucleotide ribosomal RNA is filed under the name uncultured bacterium. Its description in RNAcentral is "bacterial SSU rRNA". It matches the Rfam family "Bacterial small subunit ribosomal RNA", at positions 34 to 507 of the family's 1533-position model. The record is from RNAcentral.